Molecule: long non-coding RNA, 240 nt
Filed under: Salvia miltiorrhiza (redroot sage)
Lineage: Eukaryota; Viridiplantae; Streptophyta; Magnoliopsida; Lamiales; Lamiaceae
Description: long non-coding RNA (SMIL_LNC010666)
Source: RNAcentral
UGAGAGUGUACUGGCCUAACAGUAAGAGGUUAAUGCCUAAAACCAGAGAUCCUGGGUUCGAGUCCUUCGUCGCGCGGUCUUUAAAUAUUCUUUAUUUACUUAUGUAAUUUAUAAAAAAAAACGAAUCAAGCAAAAUUAGCUUAGGAUAUUCCACAUCAAUUAUCUAAGUUCAAUUUAUCUAAAUAAAUAAGGUUUUACUAUUUUUAUCUAUCAGAACUAAGCCUAAUAAUGAAUGCCCUC